UCCACUUGUGCAAACCACAAUGCCGGUUC
RNAcentral lists this small RNA (29 nucleotides) under Bombyx mori (domestic silkworm). RNAcentral describes it as "ovarian small RNA-26734". Lineage: Eukaryota; Metazoa; Arthropoda; Insecta; Lepidoptera; Bombycidae. The record is from RNAcentral.